GCGAUGGUGUAGUGGUUAGCAUAGUUGCCUUCCAAGCAAUUUACCCGAGUUAGAUUCUCGGCCAUCGCA
This is a non-coding RNA of Daphnia pulex (common water flea), 69 nucleotides long. The record is from Rfam. NCBI's taxonomy places the organism in Eukaryota, Metazoa, Arthropoda, Branchiopoda, Diplostraca, Daphniidae.